Molecule: unclassified non-coding RNA, 200 nt
Filed under: uncultured Thelebolus
Lineage: Eukaryota; Fungi; Ascomycota; Leotiomycetes; Thelebolales; Thelebolaceae
Description: sequence contains ITS2
Source: RNAcentral
CGGGUAUCCCUACCUGAUCCGAGGUCAACCUGAAAAAAUUGGGGGUUAUGGCAAGUAACCACCUGGAUCUCCGAAGCGAGAAGAAUUACUACGCUUGAAGCCAAAUGGCACCGCCACUGAUUUUAAGACCUGCCAGAAACUGGCAAUGUCCAAUACCAAGCAAAGCUUGAGGGUUGUAAUGACGCUCGAACAGGCAUGCC